This 1328-nucleotide ribosomal RNA is filed under the name Campylobacter coli. Its description in RNAcentral is "bacterial LSU rRNA". It matches the Rfam family "Bacterial large subunit ribosomal RNA", at positions 1 to 1348 of the family's 2925-position model. The record is from RNAcentral. Lineage: Bacteria; Pseudomonadati; Campylobacterota; Epsilonproteobacteria; Campylobacterales; Campylobacteraceae.
AAAAAAGGUAAGCUACUAAGAGCGAAUGGUGGAUGCCUUGACUGGUAAAGGCGAUGAAGGACGUACUAGACUGCGAUAAGCUACGGGGAGCUGUCAAGAAGCUUUGAUCCGUAGAUUUCCGAAUGGGGCAACCCAAUGUAUAGAGAUAUACAUUACCUAUAUAGGAGCGAACGAGGGGAAUUGAAACAUCUUAGUACCCUCAGGAAAAGAAAUCAAUAGAGAUUGCGUCAGUAGCGGCGAGCGAAAGCGCAAGAGGGCAAACCCAGUGCUUGCACUGGGGGUUGUAGGACUGCAAUGUGCAAGAGGUGAGUUUAGCAGAACAUUCUGGAAAGUAUAGCCAUAGAGGGUGAUAGUCCCGUAUGCGAAAAACAAACCUUAGCUAGCAGUAUCCUGAGUAGGGCGGGACACGAGAAAUCCUGUCUGAAGCUGGGUCGACCACGAUCCAACCCUAAAUACUAAUACCAGAUCGAUAGUGCACAAGUACCGUGAGGGAAAGGUGAAAAGAACUGAGGUGAUCAGAGUGAAAUAGAACCUGAAACCAUUUGCUUACAAUCAUUCAGAGCCCUAUGUAGCAAUACAGGGUGAUGGACUGCCUUUUGCAUAAUGAGCCUGCGAGUUGUGGUGUCUGGCAAGGUUAAGCAAACGCGAAGCCGUAGCGAAAGCGAGUCUGAAUAGGGCGCUUAGUCAGAUGCUGCAGACCCGAAACGAAGUGAUCUAUCCAUGAGCAAGUUGAAGCUAGUGUAAGAACUAGUGGAGGACUGAACCCAUAGGCGUUGAAAAGCCCCGGGAUGACUUGUGGAUAGGGGUGAAAGGCCAAUCAAACUUCGUGAUAGCUGGUUCUCUCCGAAAUAUAUUUAGGUAUAGCGUUGUGUCGUAAUAUAAGGGGGUAGAGCACUGAAUGGGCUAGGGCAUACACCAAUGUACCAAACCCUAUCAAACUCCGAAUACCUUAUAUGUAAUCACAGCAGUCAGGCGGCGAGUGAUAAAAUCCGUCGUCAAGAGGGAAACAACCCAGACUACCAGCUAAGGUCCCUAAAUCUUACUUAAGUGGAAAACGAUGUGAAGUUACUUAAACAACCAGGAGGUUGGCUUAGAAGCAGCCAUCCUUUAAAGAAAGCGUAAUAGCUCACUGGUCUAGUGAUUUUGCGCGGAAAAUAUAACGGGGCUAAAGUAAGUACCGAAGCUGUAGACUUAGUUUACUAAGUGGUAGGAGAGCGUUCUAUUUGCGUCGAAGGUAUACCGGUAAGGAGUGCUGGAGCGAAUAGAAGUGAGCAUGCAGGCAUGAGUAGCGAUAAUUAAUGUGAGAAUCAUUAACGCCGUAAACCCAA